UAAGUCAAUAGGAGCUAAACUCAACCCUUGGCUUGUUACGUGAGCUCAAACUAGUACCUAGUGAGUGUUUCAUGUACUGAACUUGGAUUUCCGGUGUUUUUGUAACAUCCAUGUAAGGUUUCGUUCGGUAUAUUAAAUCCUAUGAAAUUAUCAAAGUGUGUUGUACUAUGUUGGACAUAAUUUUAUGUUUGGACUUGGGUGAAUGUAACCAGACUUAUACUCUCAGAUUUUGUCAUAGUUGAUGGUGUGAGGACUUAUAA
Molecule: non-coding RNA, 260 nt
Organism: Aegilops tauschii subsp. strangulata
Lineage: Eukaryota; Viridiplantae; Streptophyta; Magnoliopsida; Poales; Poaceae
Source: RefSeq, a predicted model, not a curated record